Molecule: ribosomal RNA, 501 nt
Filed under: uncultured bacterium
Lineage: Bacteria
Description: partial 16S ribosomal RNA
Rfam family: Bacterial small subunit ribosomal RNA
Source: RNAcentral
AUUGAACGCUGGCGGCAGGCUUAACACAUGCAAGUCGAGCGGGGGAAGGUAGCUUGCUACCGGACCUAGCGGCGGACGGGUGAGUAAUGCUUAGGAAUCUGCCUAUUAGUGGGGGACAACAUCUCGAAAGGGAUGCUAAUACCGCAUACGUCCUACGGGAGAAAGCAGGGGAUCUUCGGACCUUGCGCUAAUAGAUGAGCCUAAGUCGGAUUAGCUAGUUGGUGGGGUAAAGGCCUACCAAGGCGACGAUCUGUAGCGGGUCUGAGAGGAUGAUCCGCCACACUGGGACUGAGACACGGCCCAGACUCCUACGGGAGGCAGCAGUGGGGAAUAUUGGACAAUGGGGGGAACCCUGAUCCAGCCAUGCCGCGUGUGUGAAGAAGGCCUUAUGGUUGUAAAGCACUUUAAGCGAGGAGGAGGCUACUUUAGUUAAUACCUAGAGAUAGUGGACGUUACUCGCAGAAUAAGCACCGGCUAACUCUGUGCCGGCAGCCGCCGCCG